AUUUCUAGCUUCUAAUAAAUUGGAAUUGGAAUUGCACUGAAUGACCAAUUUUCCUGCAUGUUUGGUUUGAUGUGUAAUGUGUAAUUGGAAUAUUAUUCCUUUUGUGAUUAUUUGGUUUAUUUAAAAAUAGAAAUCAGGUUUAAUAUGAAAUUUGCGUAGUGUAAAUGUUUUGAUCAUGACAAUCUAAGAUGUAAUCAUUUAUCAUUUCUUAA
RNAcentral lists this unclassified non-coding RNA (212 nucleotides) under Hevea brasiliensis (rubber tree). Lineage: Eukaryota; Viridiplantae; Streptophyta; Magnoliopsida; Malpighiales; Euphorbiaceae. The record is from RNAcentral.